Long non-coding RNA from Octodon degus (degu), 1410 nucleotides. RefSeq lists it as uncharacterized. Lineage: Eukaryota; Metazoa; Chordata; Mammalia; Rodentia; Octodontidae. The transcript is spliced from 3 exons. The record is from RefSeq and is a predicted model, not a curated record.
UCAACAGCCUUAACUAUGGUCCUAGCUCCUUCUGAAUGGUUCUAGCUCUUUCUGAAUGGUUCUGGCUUCUACAAAUAUCAGUUCUUCUUCCUGUUAUUUCAGUCCUAAAGAAGAAACAACUUCUCAGUGCUGCUAGUAUCCAGGAAUCUCUGCAUUUGAACCGGGAGCCAACUCUAAUGCCCAGGUAAUGGACAUGCGGAUGGGACAGACUACUACUGUUGGUUUCUUCUGUUACUUCUAGUCAUGCUUUGGAGCAGAAGGUGCUGGCCACACCCAAAAUCCGGGCAGACGGCAUUCUGGGGAAAGAACGAGGGCCAGGGAAAUGCAAAAGCGAUUACUCAAAGUAAGGUGAAAUAUGGCUGCCUGGGCCAGGACAGAAGCCAGGGAGAUAAGCGCCGAGGAGGAGCCUCCCGUCCAACAAGCCGUGACUAAUGAUGAUUGGGGUGUGUUUGGCGGGGCAGAAUUUAUUUGGUUGCUAGUUUCCCAGGGAUUAACUCUUGGUGGAUCUUGAGCCAGUGGCCCAGGGUGUCCUGGCUUCCCAGGCACCAUGGGCUCAAGUUUCUGUUCCCCCAGGCUCAAGAGAGGGGCAGGUGUGGAGCAGUGGGGACAAAGCUAGAGAUGGGGACGGGGGAGAGGUGAGCUUGUAGGCCACGACCUUGAGCCUACAGCCACAAUGAAAUUAGCUUCUGUUUCUCAUGUGUUCCUGUGUCACAACCACAGACACGAACGACUUCCGUGCAUCGUCUCUUUCACACAUAACAGCUCUGUACAGUUCUGACCAUCAGCUAAGCCCGCUAGCAGACAGGGACACUGAGAUGCAUGUAUUAGUGUUCAUGUUGGCUAAUGGCCGAGGAAGCAGCCCUUGGAGCAGGCAGUGCCAGGGCUGGGAUUCGACUGGAGAAUCAGUGUUCCUGACACCAAGGGUCUUGAAUCCGAGGGCAGCCCGGGCAACUCAGCAAGAUCUGGUCUCUGUAUGCAAAAACAAAAAACGGUUGGAUUGUCAACCAGUACCCUCUGGUUUUAAUCUCCAGUACAGAGAAAUUGUUUUAGAAUCCUCAUGACCCAUGGGUGCCCGGCCACUGUGCAGCCAGGAGGAUGGAAGUAAAACAGUGCCCUUCUUACAUCCCGGGAGGGAAGAGGGGGAGUGAGAACCCCUGUGCACAUGCACAAGCCCUGUGGGGACCUGAGAGAUGCCUGGGCACAUCACGACAUCGUUGCCUUCCCAACUGUCCAGUCUGUUGUCCUGUAGAGAUCUCUCCCCCAGCAGAAACACACCUGCACACGUGAAGACAUGCCUGUCUGAGUAGCUGUUCAUUUCAAUCUCAUGUAUAGGGGCUGGCAGAAUAGUUCAAUUGACUAAAGCACCUGCUUAGGUAAGCUCAGGGACCAGGGUUCAAUCUCCAGCAUCAC